RNAcentral lists this ribosomal RNA (376 nucleotides) under uncultured bacterium. RNAcentral describes it as "bacterial SSU rRNA". It matches the Rfam family "Bacterial small subunit ribosomal RNA", at positions 524 to 898 of the family's 1533-position model. The record is from RNAcentral.
UACGAAGGGUGCAAGCGUUGCUCGGAAUUAUUGGGCGUAAAGGGUUGGUAGGUGGUCUUGUUUGUCUAAGGUGAAAUCCCAUGGCUUAACUGUGGAAGUGCCUUAGAAACGGCAAGACUAGAGUCCUAGAGGGGUUUGUGGAAUUCCCGGUGUAGCGGUGAAAUGCGUAGAGAUCGGGAGGAACACCAGCGGCGAAGGCGGCAAACUGGAUAGGCACUGACACUCAACAACGAAAGCGUGGGGAGCAAACAGGAUUAGAUACCCUGGUAGUCCACGCUGUAAACGAUGGGUACUAGGCUUUGUGGGAAUAGACCCCUGCAGAGCCGGAGCUAACGCAAUAAGUACCCCGCCUGGGAAGUACGGUCGCAAGACUAAA